UUGUUGAAUCGUCGACAAAUGACUUCGCAGCGGGAAGAUUGAAAAAAUCAGACAAGAAGAAAAAAAAAAACUUCGAAGCCAAAAAAGUGAAUCAAUGGAGAUUUUGACGAGCAUGGCGAUUAUAGUAGUAACAACGAUCUUCAUCGUUCUGUCUUUCGCACUCUAUCUCACGAUCAGAAUCUUCACCGGGAAAUCCAGAAACGACAAGAGGUAUACUCCAGUACACGCCACAAUCUUUGAUCUUUUCUUCCAUAGCGACAAAUUAUACGAUUACGAGACAGAGAUCGCGAGGAUAAAGCCUACUUACAGGUUCUUGAGUCCAGGACAGAGCGAGAUAUUUACUGCAGAUCCUCGGAACGUGGAGCAUAUUCUCAAGACAAGAUUCGAUAACUAUAGUAAAGGACCCGUUGGUAGAGAGAAUCUUGCGGAUCUUUUGGGACAUGGAAUCUUUGCUGUUGAUGGAGAGAAAUGGAAACAACAGAGGAAGCUCGUGAGCUUUGAGUUCUCUACUAGAGUUUUAAGAAAUUUUAGCUACUCUGUUUUUCGGACAAGUGCUUCAAAGCUUGUUAGUUUUGUUUCGGAGUUUGCUCUCUCUGGAAAACCUUUUGAUGCUCAGGAUAUGUUGAUGAGAUGUACAAUAGACUCGAUCUUUAAUGUUGGGUUCGGUGUGGAGUUAAGAUGUCUAGAUGGGUUUAGCGAAGAAGGGGAAGAGUUCAUGAAGGCUUUUGAUGAAGGCAACGUUGCAACUAGUUCCAGGUUCACCGACCCGCUUUGGAAGCUGAAAUGUUUUCUUAACAUUGGAUCAGAGUCUAGACUCAAGAAGAGCAUUGCUACUAUAGACAAGUUUGUCUAUAGUCUCAUUACCACUAAAAGGAAAGAGCUUUCCAAGGAACAUGACACUUCUGUUAGAGAGGACAUGCUAUCGAAAUUUCUUCUCGAGAGUGAGAAAGAUCCGGAGAACAUGAAUGAUAAGUACCUGAGGGAUAUCAUUUUGAAUUUCAUGGUUGCUGGUAAGGACACAACCGCUGCAUCUCUCUCUUGGUUCUUGUACAUGCUCUGCAAAAACCCACUUGUUCAGGAGAAAAUCGUACAAGAAAUCAGAGAUAACAACUGAUGUAAAUGGUUUCAUUGGAAGUGUAACCGAAGAGACUCUUGCUCAGAUGCAGUAUCUCCAUGCGGCCUUGUCUGAGACUCUGAGGCUUUACCCUCCUGUGCCUGAGGACAUGAGGUGUGCAGGAAAUGAUGACGUUCUUCCAGAUGGACAUAGAGUGAGCAAAGGGGAUAAUGUCUACUACAUAGCCUAUGCAAUGGGUAGGAUGACUUACAUUUGGGGUCAAGAUGCUGAGGAAUUCAAGCCAGAGAGAUGGCUCAAGGACGGCGUAUUCCAAACCGAAUUACCAUUCAAAUUCAUAAGUUUUCAUGCUGGUCCAAGAAUCUGCCCAGGCAAGGAUUUUGCAUAUCGGCAAAUGAAGAUAGUAUCAAUGGCACUUCUUCACUUCUUUCGCUUCAAAAUGGCUGAUGAGAACAGCAAGGUGUGUUACAAGAGGAUGCUUACACUUCAUGUCGAUGGAGGACUCCAUCUCUGUGCAAUCCCGAGGACAAGCACUUGACUCAACCAGAACACUUUCCAUACUUUUAUAGUGCCACCAUGAGUUUUGGUCAAAUAUUCUCAAUAAAGGUGGAACAAGACACCAAUGAAUUUCCUUGUACUAAAUAAUCUGCUUUUAUAGAUCUUUGGAUGACUCAACUAUCAUAUUAGAAUCUGAUGAACAAGACACAAUAUUGUA
RNA transcript from Arabidopsis lyrata subsp. lyrata, 1787 nucleotides. It is a transcript of the gene named cytochrome P450 704C1, with no coding region annotated. The transcript has 5 exons. The record is from RefSeq and is a predicted model, not a curated record. Lineage: Eukaryota; Viridiplantae; Streptophyta; Magnoliopsida; Brassicales; Brassicaceae.